GAUGAACCCGUAAACGAUUGGCCGGAACUCGAUUCUUAGGUGAAUGCUGAAGGAGUAAAAUGGGAUGAACAAAAUAAAGAUUUGAUGAGAGCGCUUUAUACAUCUAACCUAACCUACUCAAUCCGAAGAUAGUGGRUACUUCACCAAUCAAGACUCACWGACAAAUCGUUCGUUGUCGCCGGAUGCUUCGCCCGAUAUUUUUUCAGCAGAUGAAACACGGAUUAAUAGCCCAUCGCCAAGACCGCCAUCAAGUCCCGUCAU
Long non-coding RNA from Diuraphis noxia (Russian wheat aphid), 261 nucleotides. The record is from RefSeq and is a predicted model, not a curated record. NCBI's taxonomy places the organism in Eukaryota, Metazoa, Arthropoda, Insecta, Hemiptera, Aphididae.